Molecule: ribosomal RNA, 548 nt
Filed under: uncultured Bacteroidota bacterium
Lineage: Bacteria; Pseudomonadati; Bacteroidota
Description: bacterial SSU rRNA
Rfam family: Bacterial small subunit ribosomal RNA
Source: RNAcentral
UGAGGAAUAUUGGACAAUGGAGGCAACUCUGAUCCAGCCAUGCCGCGUGCAGGAAGACUGCCCUAUGGGUUGUAAACUGCUUUUAUACAGGAAGAAACCUACUUACGUGUAAGUAGCUGACGGUACUGUAAGAAUAAGGAUCGGCUAACUCCGUGCCAGCAGCCGCGGUAAUACGGAGGAUCCAAGCGUUAUCCGGAAUCAUUGGGUUUAAAGGGUCCGUAGGUGGUUUAUUAAGUCAGAGGUGAAAUCCCAUAGCUUAACUAUGGAACUGCCUUUGAUACUGAUAGACUUGAGUUAUUGUGAAGUGGUUAGAAUGUGUAGUGUAGCGGUGAAAUGCAUAGAUAUUACACAGAAUACCGAUUGCGAAGGCAGAUCACUAACAAUAUACUGACACUGAGGGACGAAAGCGUGGGUAGCGAACAGGAUUAGAUACCCUGGUAGUCCACGCCAGUAAACGAUGGUCACUAGCUGUUUGACUAACAUUGGUUAGUUGAGUGGCUAAGCGAAAGUGAUAAGUGACCCACCUGGGGAGUACGCUCGCAAGAGUG